AUUGAACGCUGGCGGCAUGCUUUACACAUGCAAGUCGAACGGCAGCGCGGGCUUCGGCCUGGCGGCGAGUGGCGAACGGGUGAGUAAUACAUCGGAACGUGCCCAGUAGUGGGGGAUAGCUCGGCGAAAGCCGGAUUAAUACCGCAUACGACCUGAGGGUGAAAGCGGGGGAUCUUCGGACCUCGCGCUAUUGGAGCGGCCGAUCGCAGAUUAGCUAGUUGGUGGGGUAAAGGCCUACCAAGGCGACGAUCUGUAGCUGGUCUGAGAGGACGACCAGCCACACUGGGACUGAGACACGGCCCAGACUCCUACGGGAGGCAGCAGUGGGGAAUUUUGGACAAUGGGCGAAAGCCUGAUCCAGCAAUGCCGCGUGUGUGAUGAAGGCCUUCGGGUUGUAAAGCACUUUUGGCGGGAACGAAAAGGACUGUGCCAAUACCACGGUUCGAUGACGGUACCCGCAGAAUAAGCACCGGCUAACUACGU
RNAcentral lists this ribosomal RNA (483 nucleotides) under uncultured bacterium. RNAcentral describes it as "partial 16S ribosomal RNA". It matches the Rfam family "Bacterial small subunit ribosomal RNA", at positions 29 to 506 of the family's 1533-position model. The record is from RNAcentral.